Molecule: ribosomal RNA, 490 nt
Filed under: uncultured bacterium
Lineage: Bacteria
Description: bacterial SSU rRNA
Rfam family: Bacterial small subunit ribosomal RNA
Source: RNAcentral
GAUGAACGCUAGCGGCAGGCCUAACACAUGCAAGUCGAGGGGUAUAGGGAGCUUGCUUCCUAGGGACCGGCGCACGGGUGCGUAACGCGUAUGCAAUCUACCUUGUACAGGGGAAUAGCCCAGAGAAAUUUGGAUUAAUGCCCCAUAGUAUUAUUAAAUGGCAUCCUUUAAUAAUUAAAGUUCCAACGGUACAAGAUGAGCAUGCGUCCUAUUAGUUAGUUGGUGUGGUAACGGCAUACCAAGACGAUGAUAGGUAGGGGUCCUGAGAGGGAGAUCCCCCACACUGGUACUGAGACACGGACCAGACUCCUACGGGAGGCAGCAGUGAGGAAUAUUGGACAAUGGGCGCAAGCCUGAUCCAGCCAUGCCGGCGUGCAGGAAGACGGUCCUAUGGAUUGUAAACUGCUUUUAUACAGGAAGAAACACUGGUUCGUGAACCAGCUUGAACGGUACUGUAAGAAUAAGGAUCGGCUAAACUCCGUGCCAGCAG